Molecule: long non-coding RNA, 1254 nt
Filed under: Marmota monax (woodchuck)
Lineage: Eukaryota; Metazoa; Chordata; Mammalia; Rodentia; Sciuridae
Source: RNAcentral
CUUGAAAUAACUGAGUGUGUGAAGUUUAAGUAGGUAGCACAAACCAUGUUUGAUUUCCAAUUCCAAUGACAUUUAUUUUUAUAGGGCAAAACAAAGUACAACCUAAAAAUUCAAAAUGUACCUUCCACAAUCUUUUGAACCUGGGAGUAACAAAUUUGGGAAGCCAGUUGGGACUGAUGAAAGGAUCUAUCUUUCCCAGAAUCAACAAAAUAUGCAGAAAAAUUUGGGCAAACAUUAAAUUAAAUUUGUACUUUCCUGCAAGCUGCUAAAAUGAUCUUAAGAGAAGUUUUCCUGCAUGUGCUGAGAAAUGCUUCUGCUUAGGGUUAUUUCAAUAGGGUACAAUUUAAGGAGUGCACACUGAGUAUUAACAGAGUGUGUGAAGUUUCAAGCAGGUGGCAAAAAUUGUGUUUUAUUUUCAGUUCUAAUUCCAUUCAUCCCUCUAGAGCAACAUGAAGUGAACCCUAAUAAUUCAAAGUGUUCCUGCCAAUGAACCCUUAAACCUAGGUGGACCAUACAUCAGGAGCAAGUGGGAGUUAAUAAUUGAUCAAUGCUUCCCAGUAUUAACAGAAUCCGAAGGAAAAAAUAUGAGCAGAGAUUUCAGAAAAUUUGUAUAUUUCUUCAAGCUGCUGAAAUGCUUCCCCCAAAAGGUGUUUUUGCACAUGCUGAGAAAUGCUUCUGUUUAGGUUAACUUCAACAGGAACAAAACAGAAAAUGUGCCCUGUGAACUAACUCACUGUGUGAUGUUUCAAGCAGCCAGCAGAAACCAUGCUUGAUUUCCAGUUGCAAUUAAAUUCAUUUCUAUAGGGCAAAGCAAACAGAAACAUAAAAAUUCAAAGCAUCCCUGCAUGUGAACACUUGAACCUAGGAUAACCAAACUUGGAGAACCAGAUUCCACUGGUGAACACAUUAAUACUUCCCAGUAAUAACAAAAUCCACAGAAAAAAAAUUUGGCAGAGAUUUCUGUAAAUUCACACUUUCAUGCAAUCUCCAAAACACGCCCCAAAGCAGGUGUUCCCUCAUGUACCGAGAAAUGCUUAUGCUUAAGGGUAUUCAACACGUAAUAAAAAGGGGAGUGCACCCUGAGAACUGACUGAAUGUGUGAAAUUUCAAGCAGCUAACACAAACUGUGUCCAGUUCCACUUGCAUUCAUCCCUAUAUGGAAAAAGGAAUUGAAACCUAAAAAUUCAAAGCAUUCCUGUCAUCUACCUUUUGAGCAAAGUAGGAACAAACUUGGGGAGCCAGGUGGGACUGGUG